RNAcentral lists this ribosomal RNA (301 nucleotides) under uncultured bacterium. RNAcentral describes it as "partial 16S ribosomal RNA". It matches the Rfam family "Bacterial small subunit ribosomal RNA", at positions 509 to 809 of the family's 1533-position model. The record is from RNAcentral.
CAGUCGCCGCGGUAACACGUAGGGUGCAAGCGUUAAUCGGAAUUACUGGGCGUAAAGCGUGCGCAGGCGGUUAUAUAAGACAGAUGUGAAAUCCCCGGGCUCAACCUGGGAACUGCAUUUGUGACUGUAUAGCUAGAGUACGGCAGAGGGGGAUGGAAUUCCGCGUGUAGCAGUGAAAUGCGUAGAUAUGCGGAGGAACACCGAUGGCGAAGGCAAUCCCCUGGGCCUGUACUGACGCUCAUGCACGAAAGCGUGGGGAGCAAACAGGAUUAGAUACCCCUGUAGUCCCUGUCUCUUAUAU